UACGUAGGGUCCGAGCGUUGUCCGGAAUUACUGGGCGUAAAGAGCUCGUAGGUGGUUUGUCGCGUUGUUCGUGAAAACUCACAGCUCAACUGUGGGCGUGCGGGCGAUACGGGCAGACUUGAGUACUGCAGGGGAGACUGGAAUUCCUGGUGUAGCGGUGGAAUGCGCAGAUAUCAGGAGGAACACCGGUGGCGAAGGCGGGUCUCUGGGCAGUAACUGACGCUGAGGAGCGAAGGCGUGGGGAGCGAACAGG
RNAcentral lists this ribosomal RNA (253 nucleotides) under uncultured bacterium. RNAcentral describes it as "partial 16S ribosomal RNA". It matches the Rfam family "Bacterial small subunit ribosomal RNA", at positions 524 to 776 of the family's 1533-position model. The record is from RNAcentral.